ACGGAAGGCAGCAGUGGGGAAUAUUGCACAAUGGGGGAAACCCUGAUGCAGCGACGCCGCGUGAGUGAAGAAGUUAUUCGUAAUGUAAAGCUCUAUCAGCAGGGAAGAAAAUGACGGUACCUGACUAAGAAGCCCCGGCUAACUACGUGCCAGCAGCCGCGGUAAUACGUAGGGGGCAAGCGUUAUCCGGAUUUACUGGGUGUAAAGGGAGCGUAGACGGCUUUGCAAGUCUGAUGUGAAAGGCAGGGGCUCAACUCCUGGACUGCAUUGGAAACUGCAGAGCUCGAGUGCCGGAGAGGUAAGCGGAAUUCCUAGUGUAGCGGUGAAAUGCGUAGAUAUUAGGAGGAACACCAGUGGCGAAGGCGGCUUACUGGACGGUAACUGACGUUGAGGCUCGAAAGCGUGGGGAGCAAACAGGAUUAGAUACCCUGGUA
Molecule: ribosomal RNA, 434 nt
Filed under: uncultured Lachnospiraceae bacterium
Lineage: Bacteria; Bacillati; Bacillota; Clostridia; Lachnospirales; Lachnospiraceae
Description: partial 16S ribosomal RNA
Rfam family: Bacterial small subunit ribosomal RNA
Source: RNAcentral